RNAcentral lists this ribosomal RNA (292 nucleotides) under uncultured bacterium. RNAcentral's name for it is "partial 16S ribosomal RNA". It matches the Rfam family "Bacterial small subunit ribosomal RNA", at positions 505 to 796 of the family's 1533-position model. The record is from RNAcentral.
GUGCCAGCCGCCGCGGUAAUACGGAGGGGGUUAGCGUUGUUCGGAAUUACUGGGCGUAAAGCGUACGUAGGCGGAUCAGAAAGUAAGGGGUGAAAUCCCAGGGCUCAACCCUGGAACUGCCUCUUAAACUCCUGGUCUUGAGUUCGAGAGAGGUGAGUGGAAUUCCAAGUGUAGAGGUGAAAUUCGUAGAUAUUUGGAGGAACACCAGUGGCGAAGGCGGCUCACUGGCUCGAUACUGACGCUGAGGUACGAAAGUGUGGGGAGCAAACAGGAUUAGAAACCCUAGUAGUCC